UGGAGAUGAUUCAACUUCCAGAGACUUCCUCAUAAAUUUUUGGAAUUUUUGAGACACAGAUAAACUUCGGGUGAUCGAGGUCAGCUAUUUUUCUGCAUCCAGCAGCCACAAUAGUCAUCGGUGUACUGUGAGUAAAAUAUUAAUUUUAAUUGUAAUUUCGAUAUUAUUAUAUGUUCAAGCAUGCCCAUGCAUCACUUAUAUGCA
Molecule: long non-coding RNA, 204 nt
Organism: Hevea brasiliensis (rubber tree)
Lineage: Eukaryota; Viridiplantae; Streptophyta; Magnoliopsida; Malpighiales; Euphorbiaceae
Exons: 2
Source: RefSeq, a predicted model, not a curated record